RNAcentral lists this unclassified non-coding RNA (585 nucleotides) under Hevea brasiliensis (rubber tree). Lineage: Eukaryota; Viridiplantae; Streptophyta; Magnoliopsida; Malpighiales; Euphorbiaceae. The record is from RNAcentral.
GUAAGUUUAUAACCAAUAAUCAACUGAAUAUUUCACUUUUGGUUAUGUUCAGCUUUCUCUUGUAUUUCAGUUUGGUCAAACCAAAUGCUCACUCCUUGCAUAUCAGUCACAGGGAAGGUGAUGUGGAAUACCCUAAUGGAUGUUAAAAUUGUUCGAAAAUAACAUCGUCAUAAGGCAGAAAGCAAGACCUACAAAUUCCAUUUACACCUAAUGCUUACUAUUAAUUUUGCAGAUAAUAAUAAUAAAUGGUGCAAGUAAAUUGUUGAAAUGUUAAAAGCAAUAAAAUGAGAACAAUGGUCAAAAGACAGAGGAUAAUGCAUGGAAUAGAACUUUUCAAGAAUGACUCAAAUCCAGGACAAGCUUUAACAGAGCUACAUGACAUCAAUGCCAUUGCCAUUGUCAUCCUUACUAAAAUAUCGUCACUGACACAGCCAUCACAAAGAUCAGCAAUCCACGACAGCGCUAUAGUCAUCAGCACUACUGCUACUGCCUUGUGAUAAUUACCACAACCAUAACCAGAAAAACACUUGCACUACAUGACAGGAACAAAUCAGCACCACCAUCAUCAACUCAACUCAACUCAAC